UGCUAAAGAAGCAGCAGAUGUGAUUGUAAAUUCAACAACAAAGACAUUUGAUCACAAAGCAGGGGUCUCCAAAGCAAUUUUGGAAAAGGCUGGACAAAAUGUGGAAAUAGAAUGUUCUCGCCUAGCUCAACAAAAC
This is a long non-coding RNA of Myotis davidii, 136 nucleotides long. RefSeq lists it as uncharacterized. The transcript has 3 exons. The record is from RefSeq and is a predicted model, not a curated record. NCBI's taxonomy places the organism in Eukaryota, Metazoa, Chordata, Mammalia, Chiroptera, Vespertilionidae.